Molecule: ribosomal RNA, 320 nt
Filed under: Typhlops sp. SBH-2014a
Lineage: Eukaryota; Metazoa; Chordata; Lepidosauria; Squamata; Typhlopidae
Description: partial 16S ribosomal RNA
Rfam family: Bacterial large subunit ribosomal RNA
Source: RNAcentral
CGCCUGUUUAUCAAAAACAUAGCCUUUAGCCAGACAAGUAUUGAAGGUAAUGCCUGCCCAGUGAAGCCACUUUCAACGGCCGCGGUACCCUAACCGUGCAAAGGUAGCGUAUCAUUUGUCCACUAAUUAUGGACCUGUAUGAAAGGCCACAUGAGAAUCUAACUGUCUCUUGUAACUAAUUUAUAAAACUGAUCUUCUAGUCCAAAAGCUAGAAUAUUUAUAUAAGACGAGAAGACCCUGUGAAGCUUAAAAAAUCCUAUUAAGCCUAUUAAUAGGUAUUUUUAGUUGGGGCAACUUUGGAAAACAACUUAACUUCCAAA